RNAcentral lists this unclassified non-coding RNA (200 nucleotides) under Iodosphaeria sp. RNAcentral describes it as "partial internal transcribed spacer 2". Lineage: Eukaryota; Fungi; Ascomycota; Sordariomycetes; Amphisphaeriales; Iodosphaeriaceae. The record is from RNAcentral.
UUAAGUUCAGCGGGUAUUCCUACCUGAUCCGAGGUCAACCAUUCGGUGUUGGAGGUUUUACAGCAGGACCCGUGGUGCCCACAGAAGCGAGAAGGUAGUGCUACUACGCUUAGAAGCUGCCACGGCUCCGCUGGGAGCUUUGGGGGACCGCCUGGGCGGAUCCCCAACGCUAGGCAGAAGGCCUAGGAGUGGUCGUAAAU